CCUACGGGAGGCAGCAGUAGGGAAUCUUCCACAAUGGACGAAAGUCUGAUGGAGCAACGCCGCGUGAGUGAAGAAGGUUUUCGGCUCGUAAAGCCCUGUUGGUAGUGAAGAAAGAUAGAGGUAGUAACUGGCCUUUAUUUGACGGUAAUUACUUAGAAAGUCACGGCUAACUACGUGCCAGCCGCCGCUGUAAUACGUAGGUGGCAAGCGUUGUCCGGAUUUAUUGGGCGUAAAGCGAGUGCAGGCGGUUCAAUAAGUCUGAUGUGAAAGCCGUCGGCUCAACCGGAGAAUUGCAUCAGAAACUGUUGAACUUGAGUGCAGAAGAGGUGAGUGGAACUCGAGGUGUAGCGGUGGAAUGCGUAGAUAUAUGGAAGAACACCAGUGGCGAAGGCGGCUCUCUGGUCUGCAACUGACGCUGAGGCUCGAAAGCAUGGGUAGCGAACAGGAUUAGAUACCCUUGCAGUC
Molecule: ribosomal RNA, 465 nt
Filed under: uncultured bacterium
Lineage: Bacteria
Description: partial 16S ribosomal RNA
Rfam family: Bacterial small subunit ribosomal RNA
Source: RNAcentral